Molecule: ribosomal RNA, 16 nt
Filed under: Utricularia macrorhiza
Lineage: Eukaryota; Viridiplantae; Streptophyta; Magnoliopsida; Lamiales; Lentibulariaceae
Also listed under: 2 other names
Description: partial 26S ribosomal RNA
Source: RNAcentral
GACCGCGACCCCAGGU